RNAcentral lists this unclassified non-coding RNA (257 nucleotides) under Hevea brasiliensis (rubber tree). Lineage: Eukaryota; Viridiplantae; Streptophyta; Magnoliopsida; Malpighiales; Euphorbiaceae. The record is from RNAcentral.
GAUCAGGAAGAGACUGGAUGGAAGUACAUCCACGGUGAUGUAUUUAGAUAUCCAAAGUUCAAGUCAUUAUUUGCUGCAGCCCUUGGGUCUGGGACCCAGCUGUUCACUCUCACUGUAUUUAUUUUUAUUCUUGCACUGGUUGGUGUAUUUUAUCCAUAUAACCGAGGAGCUCUAUUUACUGCACUGGUAGUCAUAUACGCACUGACUUCUGGGAUUGCUGGAUAUACAGCAACCUCUUUCUAUUGUCAGCUGGAAGG